GAUGCUCAUUUUAGUGAGGUAAAAAGAGCCAGCCUCAUUCAACAUGAGUUAUGGCUGGAAACAAAGAAUUAAGAUGAAAAUGGCCAACUACCAUACCCAACUGCGAUCACAUGGCUCACAUGCUGAGCUUCAGGUGAACUCUCUUAAACGAAAGAGACAACAGGAUGCAGCAGCUCACCCGGCCAAAAAAAUAAAUAAAAAAAAAUAAAAGAGCAAUGCCAAUUGGUGAGACUCCUGAAACUACGGAAUAGAAAGAACUUCCAUUUUGGAAGAGCUUAAGAAAAGAAAUUGUGGAAGGACAAAGGACAAGAUGGAAAAUACCUUUGGGUACCAUAGACAGGAAAUUGUGGACAAGCAACCCAGUGUGGAAGAAGUCUUGACCAGAUGGCCAGCACUUUUCUCAGUGGAAGAGAUCAAUUGGGAGUUACAACGAAUCACAACAGUUUGCAAGUAAAGUUCAUGGCUUAGUUGGACAAACACACCAGCCUGCUACUUGAGAUCAUUAAGAAAAAAGGAGGAGUUGUUAAUCAGAAGACUAAAGAUACACUGCAGCUUUUAAAUCAGGAAGUUGAUAUCCACAUUAAAAGAGAAUGUGUUCUCAAAUGCCUCACGAUUUACCUGGGAGAUCAACCAGACUUGAAACUUGAUCAAGGAAUAUGUGGUAAGGACACACUUUAGUUUCUUUUGUAUUUGAAUUCUGACUGGUGUUAUGCCAUUAAAGUAGCCACAAAAUAUUUGGGGACACAUUUUCAAUAUUAAGGUGUGUACACACUACAGGUGUACAGAGAUGUCAUUAUCUGUUCAAACAACAAAAUUAUCUGUCUCUGUAUUCAGAGAGUGGAAUUGGGUGUGGUAUUUACUCAUGUUAAAAAUAACUUUAUAUUAAUUGGCAAUGCAAUUGUUGUGCCUUCAAAGUAUCAAAUUUAUUUAAUAUUGGCAUAUAACUUGUGAAAUACAGUGGCGAACCGUGACCCUCGA
Molecule: long non-coding RNA, 978 nt
Organism: Xyrauchen texanus (razorback sucker)
Lineage: Eukaryota; Metazoa; Chordata; Actinopteri; Cypriniformes; Catostomidae
Exons: 3
Source: RefSeq, a predicted model, not a curated record